RNAcentral lists this ribosomal RNA (247 nucleotides) under uncultured bacterium. Its description in RNAcentral is "partial 16S ribosomal RNA". It matches the Rfam family "Bacterial small subunit ribosomal RNA", at positions 523 to 769 of the family's 1533-position model. The record is from RNAcentral.
AUACGUAGGUGGCAAGCGUUGUCCGGAAUUACUGGGUGUAAAGGGAGCGUAGGCGGGAUUGUAAGUUGGAUGUGAAAACUAUCGGCUCAACCGGUAGAGUGCAUUCAAAACUGCGGUUCUUGAGUGAAGUAGAGGCAGGCGGAAUUCCUAGUGUAGCGGUGAAAUGCGUAGAUAUUAGGAGGAACACCAGUGGCGAAGGCGGCCUGCUGGGCUUUUACUGACGCUGAGGCUCGAAAGCAUGGGUAGC